AAAAUGUAACAAGGUUUCCGUAGGUGAACCUGCGGAAGGAUCAUUACCGAGUGC
Molecule: ribosomal RNA, 54 nt
Filed under: Aspergillus niger
Lineage: Eukaryota; Fungi; Ascomycota; Eurotiomycetes; Eurotiales; Aspergillaceae
Description: partial 18S ribosomal RNA
Rfam family: Eukaryotic small subunit ribosomal RNA (bases 1-46)
Source: RNAcentral